This 2932-nucleotide ribosomal RNA is filed under the name Escherichia coli. RNAcentral describes it as "bacterial LSU rRNA". It matches the Rfam family "Bacterial large subunit ribosomal RNA". Lineage: Bacteria; Pseudomonadati; Pseudomonadota; Gammaproteobacteria; Enterobacterales; Enterobacteriaceae. The record is from RNAcentral.
GGGUUGUGAGGUUAAGCGACUAAGCGUACACGGUGGAUGCCCUGGCAGUCAGAGGCGAUGAAGGACGUGCUAAUCUGCGAUAAGCGUCGGUAAGGUGAUAUGAACCGUUAUAACCGGCGAUUUCCGAAUGGGGAAACCCAGUGUGAUUCGUCACACUAUCAUUAACUGAAUCCAUAGGUUAAUGAGGCGAACCGGGGGAACUGAAACAUCUAAGUACCCCGAGGAAAAGAAAUCAACCGAGAUUCCCCCAGUAGCGGCGAGCGAACGGGGAGCAGCCCAGAGCCUGAAUCAGUGUGUGUGUUAGUGGAAGCGUCUGGAAAGGCGUGCGAUACAGGGUGACAGCCCCGUACACAAAAAUGCACAUGCUGUGGGCUCGAUGAGUAGGGCGGGACACGUGGUAUCCUGUCUGAAUAUGGGGGGACCAUCCUCCAAGGCUAAAUACUCCUGACUGACCGAUAGUGAACCAGUACCGUGAGGGAAAGGCGAAAAGAACCCCGGCGAGGGGAGUGAAAAAGAACCUGAAACCGUGUACGUACAAGCAGUGGGAGCACAGAGCAAUCUGUGUGACUGCGUACCUUUUGUAUAAUGGGUCAGCGACUUAUAUUCUGUAGCAAGGUUAACCGAAUAGGGGAGCCGAAGGGAAACCGAGUCUUAACUGGGCGUUAAGUUGCAGGGUAUAGACCCGAAACCCGGUGAUCUAGCCAUGGGCAGGUUGAAGGUUGGGUAACACUAACUGGAGGACCGAACCGACUAAUGUUGAAAAAUUAGCGGAUGACUUGUGGCUGGGGGUGAAAGGCCAAUCAAACCGGGAGAUAGCUGGUUCUCCCCGAAAGCUAUUUAGGUAGCGCCUCGUGAAUUCAUCUCCGGGGGUAGAGCACUGUUUCGGCAAGGGGGUCAUCCCGACUUACCAACCCGAUGCAAACUGCGAAUACCGGAGAAUGUUAUCACGGGAGACACACGGCGGGUGCUAACGUCCGUCGUGAAGAGGGAAACAACCCAGACCGCCAGCUAAGGUCCCAAAGUCAUGGUUAAGUGGGAAACGAUGUGGGAAGGCCCAGACAGCCAGGAUGUUGGCUUAGAAGCAGCCAUCAUUUAAAGAAAGCGUAAUAGCUCACUGGUCGAGUCGGCCUGCGCGGAAGAUGUAACGGGGCUAAACCAUGCACCGAAGCUGCGGCAGCGACGCUUAUGCGUUGUUGGGUAGGGGAGCGUUCUGUAAGCCUGCGAAGGUGUGCUGUGAGGCAUGCUGGAGGUAUCAGAAGUGCGAAUGCUGACAUAAGUAACGAUAAAGCGGGUGAAAAGCCCGCUCGCCGGAAGACCAAGGGUUCCUGUCCAACGUUAAUCGGGGCAGGGUGAGUCGACCCCUAAGGCGAGGCCGAAAGGCGUAGUCGAUGGGAAACAGGUUAAUAUUCCUGUACUUGGUGUUACUGCGAAGGGGGGACGGAGAAGGCUAUGUUGGCCGGGCGACGGUUGUCCCGGUUUAAGCGUGUAGGCUGGUUUUCCAGGCAAAUCCGGAAAAUCAAGGCUGAGGCGUGAUGACGAGGCACUACGGUGCUGAAGCAACAAAUGCCCUGCUUCCAGGAAAAGCCUCUAAGCAUCAGGUAACAUCAAAUCGUACCCCAAACCGACACAGGUGGUCAGGUAGAGAAUACCAAGGCGCUUGAGAGAACUCGGGUGAAGGAACUAGGCAAAAUGGUGCCGUAACUUCGGGAGAAGGCACGCUGAUAUGUAGGUGAAGUCCCUCGCGGAUGGAGCUGAAAUCAGUCGAAGAUACCAGCUGGCUGCAACUGUUUAUUAAAAACACAGCACUGUGCAAACACGAAAGUGGACGUAUACGGUGUGACGCCUGCCCGGUGCCGGAAGGUUAAUUGAUGGGGUUAGCGCAAGCGAAGCUCUUGAUCGAAGCCCCGGUAAACGGCGGCCGUAACUAUAACGGUCCUAAGGUAGCGAAAUUCCUUGUCGGGUAAGUUCCGACCUGCACGAAUGGCGUAAUGAUGGCCAGGCUGUCUCCACCCGAGACUCAGUGAAAUUGAACUCGCUGUGAAGAUGCAGUGUACCCGCGGCAAGACGGAAAGACCCCGUGAACCUUUACUAUAGCUUGACACUGAACAUUGAGCCUUGAUGUGUAGGAUAGGUGGGAGGCUUUGAAGUGUGGACGCCAGUCUGCAUGGAGCCGACCUUGAAAUACCACCCUUUAAUGUUUGAUGUUCUAACGUUGACCCGUGAUCCGGGUUGCGGACAGUGUCUGGUGGGUAGUUUGACUGGGGCGGUCUCCUCCUAAAGAGUAACGGAGGAGCACGAAGGUUGGCUAAUCCUGGUCGGACAUCAGGAGGUUAGUGCAAUGGCAUAAGCCAGCUUGACUGCGAGCGUGACGGCGCGAGCAGGUGCGAAAGCAGGUCAUAGUGAUCCGGUGGUUCUGAAUGGAAGGGCCAUCGCUCAACGGAUAAAAGGUACUCCGGGGAUAACAGGCUGAUACCGCCCAAGAGUUCAUAUCGACGGCGGUGUUUGGCACCUCGAUGUCGGCUCAUCACAUCCUGGGGCUGAAGUAGGUCCCAAGGGUAUGGCUGUUCGCCAUUUAAAGUGGUACGCGAGCUGGGUUUAGAACGUCGUGAGACAGUUCGGUCCCUAUCUGCCGUGGGCGCUGGAGAACUGAGGGGGGCUGCUCCUAGUACGAGAGGACCGGAGUGGACGCAUCACUGGUGUUCGGGUUGUCAUGCCAAUGGCACUGCCCGGUAGCUAAAUGCGGAAGAGAUAAGUGCUGAAAGCAUCUAAGCACGAAACUUGCCCCGAGAUGAGUUCUCCCUGACUCCUUGAGAGUCCUGAAGGAACGUUGAAGACGACGACGUUGAUAGGCCGGGUGUGUAAGCGCAGCGAUGCGUUGAGCUAACCGGUACUAAUGAACCGUGAGGCUUAACCUUACAACGCCGAAGCUGUU